RNAcentral lists this ribosomal RNA (519 nucleotides) under uncultured eukaryote. Its description in RNAcentral is "SSU rRNA". It matches the Rfam family "Eukaryotic small subunit ribosomal RNA", at positions 1161 to 1699 of the family's 1831-position model. The record is from RNAcentral.
AGGGCACCACCAGGAGUGGAGCCUGCGGCUUAAUUUGACUCAACACGGGAAAACUUACCCGGCCCGGACACUGGCAGGAUUGACAGAUUGAGAGCUCUUUCUUGAUUCAGUGGGUGGUGGUGCAUGGCCGUUCUUAGCUGGUGGAGCGAUUUGUCUGGUUAAUUCCGAUAACGAACGAGACUCUAGCCUACUAAAUAGGCCACCGGCUUACUGACGUCGGUGGGACUUCUUAGAGGGACAGGCGGCGAUUCAGCCGCACGAAACAGAGCAAUAACAGGUCUGUGAUGCCCUUAGAUGUCCGGGGCCGCACGCGCGCUACACUGAAGUGAUCAGCGUGCAUUACAAACCUGCUCCGUCAGGAGUGGGGAACCCAAUGAACCUUCUUCGUGAUUGGGAUAGGGGAUUGUAAUUAUUCCCCUUGAACGAGGAAUUCCCAGUAAGCGCGAGUCAUAAGCUCGCGUUGAUUACGUCCCCGCCCUUUGUACACACCGCCCGUCGCUACUACCGAUUGAAUGAUUU